GUGCCAGCAGCCGCGGUAAUACGGGGGGGGCGAGCGUUGUCCGGAAUCACUGGGCGUAAAGGGCGCGUAGGCGGGAUGGUAAGUCGGCGGUGAAAAUCCCCGGCUCAACCGGGGACCUGCCGCCGAAACUGCCAUUCUUGAGUGCGGGAGAGGGAGGUGGAAUUCCUGGUGUAGCGGUGAAAUGCGUAGAUAUCAGGAAGAACACCGGUAGCGAAGGCGGCCUCCUGGCCCGUCACUGACGCUGAGGCGCGAAAGCGUGGGGAGCGAACAGGAUUAGAUACCCUGGUAGUCCACGCCGUAAACGAUGGGUGCUAGGUGUUGGCCCGUUGGGGUCAGUGCCGAAGCUAACGCAUUAAGCACCCCGCCUGGGGAGUACGGCCGCAAGGCUGAAACUUAAAGGAAUUGACGGGG
Molecule: ribosomal RNA, 411 nt
Filed under: uncultured prokaryote
Description: bacterial SSU rRNA
Rfam family: Bacterial small subunit ribosomal RNA
Source: RNAcentral